AGCGAACGCUGGCGGCAGGCUUAACACAUGCAAGUCGAGCGGGCACUUCGGUGUCAGCGGCAGACGGGUGAGUAACACGUGGGAACGUGCCCUUCGGUUCGGAAUAACUCAGGGAAACUUGAGCUAAUACCGGAUACGCCCUUUGGGGGAAAGGUUUACUGCCGAAGGAUCGGCCCGCGUCUGAUUAGCUAGUUGGUGGGGUAAAAGCCUACCAAGGCUACGAUCCGUAGCUGGUCUGAGAGGACGACCAGCCACACUGGAACUGAGACACGGUCCAGACUCCUACGGGAGGCAGCAGUGGGGAAUUUUGGACAAUGGGCGCAAGCCUGAUCCAGCCAUGCCGCGUGGGUGAAGAAGGCCUGGUU
RNAcentral lists this ribosomal RNA (365 nucleotides) under uncultured bacterium. RNAcentral describes it as "bacterial SSU rRNA". It matches the Rfam family "Bacterial small subunit ribosomal RNA", at positions 29 to 424 of the family's 1533-position model. The record is from RNAcentral.